This 87-nucleotide transfer RNA is filed under the name Geobacter sp. RNAcentral describes it as "tRNA-Leu". It matches the Rfam family "tRNA". Rfam says of the family: Transfer RNA (tRNA) molecules are approximately 80 nucleotides in length. The record is from RNAcentral. RNAcentral also lists the same sequence under 13 other names. Lineage: Bacteria; Pseudomonadati; Thermodesulfobacteriota; Desulfuromonadia; Geobacterales; Geobacteraceae.
GCCGAAGUGGUGGAAUUGGUAGACACACCAUCUUGAGGGGGUGGCGGGCGAUAGCCUGUACGAGUUCGAGUCUCGUCUUCGGCACCA